This 314-nucleotide ribosomal RNA is filed under the name uncultured bacterium. Its description in RNAcentral is "bacterial SSU rRNA". It matches the Rfam family "Bacterial small subunit ribosomal RNA", at positions 775 to 1089 of the family's 1533-position model. The record is from RNAcentral.
GGAUUAGAUACCCGGGUAGUCCACGCCGUAAACGGUGGGUGUUAGGUGUGAGCGGUAUUCCACGCCGUUCGUGCCGCAGCUAACGCAUUAAGCACCCCGCCUGGGGAGUACGGCCGCAAGGCUAAAACUCAAAGGAAUUGACGGGGGCCCGCACAAGCAGCGGAGCAUGUGGCUUAAUUCGACGCAACGCGAAGAACCUUACCAAGGCUUGACAUGCGGGGAAAUCCUCCAGAGAUGGGGGGUCCCAAGGGUCCUGCACAGCUGGUGCAUGGUUGUCGGUCAGCUCGUGUCGUGAGAUGUUGGGUUAAGUCCCG